UUGAUCCUGCCAGUAGUCAUAUGCUUGUCUCAAAGAUUAAGCCAUGCAUGUCUAAGUACAGACCGAAUAACACGGUGAAACCGCGAAUGGCUCAUUAAAUCAGUUAUGGUUCCUUGGAUCUUACCCAGUUACUUGGAUAACUGUGGCAAUUCUAGAGCUAAUACAUGCAACUGAGCUCCGACCGCAAGGGAAGAGCGCUUUUAUUAGAUCAAAACCAAUCGGGCUUCGGUCCGUCCCUUUGUGAUGACUCUGAGUAACUUUGAGCUGAGCGCACGGUCUCCGCACCGGCGCCGUAUCUUUCAAGUGUCUGCCUUAUCAGCUUUCGAUUGUAGGUUAUGCGCCUACAAUGGCUAUAACGGGUAACGGGGAAUCAGGGUUCGAUUCCGGAGAGGGAGCCUGAGAAACGGCUACCACAUCUAAGGAAGGCAGCAGGCACGCAAAUUACCCACUCCCAGCUCGGGGAGGUAGUGACGAAAAAUAACAAUGCGGGACUCUUCCGAGGCUUCGCAAUUGGAAUGAGUGAAAUUUAAAUCCUUUGACCAGGAUCUAUUGGAGGGCAAGUCUGGUGCCAGCAGCCGCGGUAAUUCCAGCUCCAAUAGCGUAUAUUAAAGUUGUUGCGGUUAAAAAGCUCGUAGUUGGAUUUGAGUUGUGGGCCGAUGGUUCGCCUCUGGUGAUUUACUGUCGGUCCUUACUGUUGGUCAUUUCGUUGGGGGUGCUCUUUACCGAGUGUCUCCUGCGUGUGGCAUGUUUACUUUGAAAAAAUUAGAGUGCUCAAAGCAGGCCUUGCGCCUGAAUAGUUGUGCAUGGAAUAAUGGAAUAGGAUCUCGGUUCUAUUUUGUUGGUUUUCGGAACCCGAGAUAAUGAUUAAUAGAGACGGACGGGGGCAUUCGUAUUGCGACGCUAGAGGUGAAAUUCUUGGACCGUCGCAAGACGAACUACUGCGAAAGCAUUUGCCAAGAACGUUCUCAUUAAUCAAGAACGAAAGUUAGAGGUUCGAAGGCGAUCAGAUACCGCCCUAGUUCUAACCAUAAACMAUGCUGACUAGCGAUCCGUCUGUGUUAAUCCCAUGACUAGACGGGCAGCUUCCGGGAAACCAAAGUCUUUGAGUUCCGGGGGAAGUAUGGUUGCAAAGCUGAAACUUAAAGGAAUUGACGGAAGGGCACCACCAGGAGUGGAGCCUGCGGCUUAAUUUGACUCAACACGGGGAACCUCACCAGGCCCGGACACCGGAAGGAUUGACAGAUUGAGAGCUCUUUCUUGAUUCGGUGGGUGGUGGUGCAUGGCCGUUCUUAGUUGGUGGAGCGAUUUGUCUGGUUAAUUCCGAUAACGAACGAGACUCUAGCCUGCUAACUAGUCGGAGGAUUUACAUACUAGUGCCCCGGGUAGCUUCUUAGAGGGAUAAGUGGUUUCUAGCCGCGAGAGAUUGAGCAAUAACAGGUCUGUGAUGCCCUUAGAUGUUCUGGGCCGCACGCGCGCUACACUGAAGGGAUCAGCGUGUGCUCCCUCUCCGAGAGGAGCGGGUAACCCGUUGAACCCCCUUCGUGAUAGGGAUUGGGGCUUGAAACUUUUCCCCAUCAACGAGGAAUUCCUAGUAAGCGCAAGUCAUCAGCUUGCGUUGAUUACGUCCCUGCCCUUUGUACACACCGCCCGUCGCUACUACCGAUUGAAUGAUUUAGUGAGGCCUUCGGACUGGCGCCUUUUGCAGUCUUCGUGAUUGCUUAGGGCUUGCCGGAAAGAUGUCCAAACUUGAUCAUUUAGAGGAAGUAAAAGUCGUAACAAGGUUUCCGUAGGUGAACCUGCGGA
This 1803-nucleotide ribosomal RNA is filed under the name Parerythrops spectabilis. RNAcentral describes it as "SSU rRNA". It matches the Rfam family "Eukaryotic small subunit ribosomal RNA". The record is from RNAcentral. Lineage: Eukaryota; Metazoa; Arthropoda; Malacostraca; Mysida; Mysidae.